Molecule: ribosomal RNA, 446 nt
Filed under: uncultured bacterium
Lineage: Bacteria
Description: partial 16S ribosomal RNA
Rfam family: Bacterial small subunit ribosomal RNA
Source: RNAcentral
CCUACGGGUGGCAGCAGUCGAGAAUCAUUCACAAUGGGGGAAACCCUGAUGGUGCGACGCCGCGUGGGGGAAUGAAGGUCUUCGGAUUGUAAACCCCUGUCAUGUGGGAGCAAAUUAAAAAGAUAGUACCACAAGAGGAAGAGACGGCUAACUCUGUGCCAGCAGCCGCGGUAAUACAGAGGUCUCAAGCGUUGUUCGGAAUCACUGGGCGUAAAGCGGGCGUAGGCUGUUUCGUAAGUCGUGUGUGAAAGGCGCGGGCUCAACCCGCGGACGGCACAUGAUACUGCGAGACUAGAGUAAGGGAGGGGGAACCGGAAUUCUCGGUGUAGCAGUGAAAUGCGUAGAUAUCGAGAGGAACACUCGUGGCGAAGGCGGGUUCCUGGACAUUAACUGACGCUGAGGCACGAAGGCCAGGGGAGCGAAAGGGAUUAGAUACCCCUGUAGUC